ACCUUUGAACAUCCUGUCUCAUCCAUAGCUUUCUGCUCCACCCUGAUUAAUUUCAGUGUUUUGGGGAGGAGGGAGGAGGAAAGGUUGGGAAUGAACAGGCAUAUUGCCUAGAAGAGAACAUUUUUAGCUUUCUUGUGGCCUGCUAAUUUGAGAGUGAAACUCAUUUCCCAUUAACAGAAGGGUCACAUUACUGCACGUUUUAUUGCCCAAAUGAAGGCAAGGUCAAAGAUUCCUCUAUUGGAUGCUCCCUUAUCUGUUUUCUUGCCUUCAGUCUGAAGAAGAAGAGGCUGAGGAUGGGGGUAAGGUUGCUAUAAUAGCUGCCUUACACAAGAUCAUCCUGUGCAAGAAGAAUUAGGUCUGUUCUGCCUGGCCCAAGGGAGAAGAAUUCAGAGCCAAUACCACAGAGUACUCCUGGGAGCCCACAGAGGACCUGAAGUUUCUCUUCCACAAGAAUCCUGAGAAAUCUCUGGAGAAGGAAGGGUGAUCUUUCCUCCUCAGCUUAAAACUACAAACUUCCAACUUCUCUUGCAACCUGGGGAUCAUGGCACAACUGAUGGGCAAGCUCAACAUCUGCUGGAUGCUGCAGCUGCUCUCUUCAGAUCUCAUUUCUCUCCUUCAAGCAUAACUCCUCAUUAACUUAGGGACAGCUCUACAACCCCUCCCAGCAUGAAGAACCUUCAGAAGAACAGAGACCCUCAUCCCUUUUCCAAAAGAAUUUGGGGUUAAUUGUUUGAGGGGGGAGAUGAUGCAAGUGAACUCUGUAUGACUUAAGUGAGCUCAGUAAAAUUAUGUAAAAUCACAAAAAACAUGUCCCCUUUGAUUCACAACCCAAAUGGUCUCCCAUCCUCUCAAGAGUGAGAAAGUGAGAUAAUCAAAUCAAUCAAAAGCAAAUCAAAGUCGUAUUGAUCUUGUCCAGAAGUCACACCCCUAGGCAAGAUUUCACAUUCAAUUGAGACUUCUCAAACUUCCCCUAAACUUACACAUAAAAUGGGUCUUCAAAAAUGAUUCUUUGCAGAUCUCUCCCUUGAGAAAGAUAUAGUGGCUGAGAGAAUCCCUCUUGGUGUUUCUUUAACAAUAAAGCCUCUUUGCCAUA
Antechinus flavipes (yellow-footed antechinus) is the source of this 1093-nucleotide long non-coding RNA. RefSeq lists it as uncharacterized. The transcript is spliced from 3 exons. The record is from RefSeq and is a predicted model, not a curated record. Lineage: Eukaryota; Metazoa; Chordata; Mammalia; Dasyuromorphia; Dasyuridae.